UUUCCUAGUUGAAUUUAACUUUUUACACAUACAUCUUAGGAAUUCCUUAUAUAUUCUAGAUUCAAACGUUCUGUCAGGCAUGGGAUUUACAAAUACUACUUCUCCUCAGAGACGCACAGUGCUUUAUGCUAUUAAAAUGCACACAAGGAUGCUCAGUGUUUGGGUUUUCAUAUGCAAGUCAGCGAGGUGAAACAGCAUCCAAACAUCAUUACUAUUGUUCCACUUUGAGUAAGUUAAGACAGGAAAGUUCUUUCCCUUCCAGGGCAACCAGAGAAGGAUUAUCAGAUACUUGGUGAUGAUCUUUGUGGUCCUUUGUGGUGUUGGAGAAUUCACAGAGCUGUAAGAAAGAAUGACUAAAAGGUAUACCUCCAUCCAAUGGACAAAGGAUCCCCUUAGGAUUCUUGUGCACUGACUUUUAAUUGCAUCUGAAUUCCCCCCAAACAAACUCAGAUGUAAGGAUAUGAGCCUUCCCGAUGUUUCCAGACUCCCCCAGGUUUGCUCAAGACACUAGAAAACGAUGUGUUCCCUGAGCUGAGCAUUGUUUUCAGACACUGACUUCAGGGCAGUCAUCUCACUGUUCACGGACUCCUCAGUUCUGCAGGUAGAGAUCAAGACCAGCUGCAUUCUGUUGAUCGGAGAUGAAAACUGGGCCAUGGGGUGGGGGAAUAGUGACGCAGAACUGCUGCCGUUUGAGAAACAGGGAGUUUACUGACCUCACUCUGAAGGCAGGAAGCCAUGGCUCCUGUUACAGUGAUGAAAUACUCCAAUCACGGAAACGGACAGAAAAUAACACAACCGCCCCCAUUUACCACAGGACCAGCACAGGCCAUGUCCUCCGCCCGAGUGGAAACCAGCACAAGCCACGUCCUCGGCCCAAGUGGAACAAGCCGACUUUCUUUCAGGUGGAAGGAACACCACUUGCAGGGGAAUGCCGUGUUCUGCAGGACUGGGGCCCAAUGGGACCAGCCUCAAGGACCACAGGUGGAGGGAACCGUGGCCCACACUGAACAGAGGUUUUUCCCAAAUGGCAGCAAAUUGAAAUAGUUAACAAUCAGAGGAUAAUUAGCAAAGCAUUCCUCAGUUUUUGAGCUCUAAUAGGACUGUAUGAAAUGAUGAAACUUAUUUUCCAACCUUGAAAGUAUUAAGCAGAGACAGCAGACGAAAAGUGUCCUCCUCAUCAUCACAAAUGAACUGAGCAAGGAAAAGAAGGAACUGAGAAAACAAAAGAGAUGCGACAGCACGGAUUUCAGAGAUCCAUUUACUUAAGAGUGCCAAUACCUAUGUAAUAUAUUUAUAUUAAAAUGCUAAGAUAAUAA
Ictidomys tridecemlineatus (thirteen-lined ground squirrel) is the source of this 1316-nucleotide long non-coding RNA. RefSeq lists it as uncharacterized. NCBI's taxonomy places the organism in Eukaryota, Metazoa, Chordata, Mammalia, Rodentia, Sciuridae. The record is from RefSeq and is a predicted model, not a curated record.